RNAcentral lists this ribosomal RNA (406 nucleotides) under uncultured bacterium. Its description in RNAcentral is "partial 16S ribosomal RNA". It matches the Rfam family "Bacterial small subunit ribosomal RNA", at positions 29 to 526 of the family's 1533-position model. The record is from RNAcentral.
AUUGAACGCUGGCGGCAGGCCUAACACAUGCAAGUCGAACGAGUGGCGGACGGGUGAGUAAUGUCUGGGAAACUGCCUGAUGGAGGGGGAUAACUACUGGAAACGGUAGCUAAUACCGCAUACCAUCGGAUGUGCCCAGAUGGGAUUAGCUAGUAGGUGGGGUAAAGGCUCACCUAGGCGACGAUCCCUAGCUGGUCUGAGAGGAUGACCAGACAGACUGGGACUGAGACACGGUCCAGACGCCUACGGGAGGCAGCAGUGGGGAAUAGUGCACAAUGGGGGCAAGCCUGAUGCAGCGAUGCCGCGUGGAUGAAGAAGGCAUUCGGGGGGUAAAGUACUUUCGGCGGGGAGGCGUUACCCGCAGAAGAAGCACCGGCUAACUCCGUGCCAGCAGCCGCGGUAAUAC